GACGAACGCUGGCGGCGUGCUUAACACAUGCAAGUCGAACGGAAAGGCCCUGCUUUUGUGGGGUGCUCGAGUGGCGAACGGGUGAGUAACACGUGAGUAACCUGCCCUUGACUUUGGGAUAACUUCAGGAAACUGGGGCUAAUACCGGAUAGGAGAUCCUGCUGCAUGGUGUGGGUUGGAAAGUUUCGGCGGUUGUGGAUGGACUGGCGGGUUAUGCGCUUGAUGGUGGGGUAGUUGCGUACGAAGGCUUUGACGGGUAGCCGGCCUGAGAGGUGGAACGGCGUCAUUGCGCCUGCGAUACGGAGCAGAAUGGUAUGGUAGGCAGCAGUGGGGAGUCUUGCACAGUGGGGGGACGUCUGAUGCGGAAACGCUGCGUGCGGGAUGCCGGGUUAUGGGGUGUAAACAGCUUUGGCCGGUGCCGAAGCGUGCGUGACGGUAAUGGGUAAAGAAGCACCGGCUAACUACGUG
Molecule: ribosomal RNA, 468 nt
Filed under: uncultured bacterium
Lineage: Bacteria
Description: partial 16S ribosomal RNA
Rfam family: Bacterial small subunit ribosomal RNA
Source: RNAcentral